AGAACAGUAGUUAAACAUAACAAUUGGGUUGCAUUCAAUAAGUAUCUACUAAGAUCUGUUUUA
RNAcentral lists this transfer RNA (63 nucleotides) under Bilobella aurantiaca. RNAcentral's name for it is "tRNA-Ala". Lineage: Eukaryota; Metazoa; Arthropoda; Collembola; Poduromorpha; Neanuridae. The record is from RNAcentral.